GCCAUCCCAGUGUUCAGACUAGCUGUUCAGCAGGCUGUGAUAUGUACAGUAGUCUGCACAUUGGUUAGGC
This is a microRNA precursor of Cricetulus griseus (Chinese hamster), 70 nucleotides long. Ensembl annotates it as microRNA 199a-1. Its record names the gene Mir199a-1. The record is from Ensembl. NCBI's taxonomy places the organism in Eukaryota, Metazoa, Chordata, Mammalia, Rodentia, Cricetidae.